CUCUGACUUACCAGGACUCAUCAAACUUCUCAAAAUGGGGUUGCCUGCUCAGCUCCUGUGGCUGCUGAUGCUCUGGAUGGCUGGAUCCAGUGGGGAUAUCGUGUUGACACAGACCCCAUCUUCCCCACCCAUCAGCCCUGGAGAGCCGGCCUCCAUCUCCUGCAGGUCUAGUGAGAGCCUUGU
Molecule: non-coding RNA, 183 nt
Organism: Manis javanica (Malayan pangolin)
Lineage: Eukaryota; Metazoa; Chordata; Mammalia; Pholidota; Manidae
Source: RefSeq, a predicted model, not a curated record